Molecule: long non-coding RNA, 347 nt
Organism: Tripterygium wilfordii
Lineage: Eukaryota; Viridiplantae; Streptophyta; Magnoliopsida; Celastrales; Celastraceae
Exons: 2
Source: RefSeq, a predicted model, not a curated record
UUUGAUAAAUUUUUUUACACCGUUAAAUAUGAAUUUCAGAUUGCCGAAUUACAGAGUUUCCUUACUUCCUUCAUCCACACAUAUAAAUUAAGCCCAAUUCAACAAAGCCCACAAUAAUGCGCGUCUUCGGGAAGUGCAGUUUUUGCUUUAUGGGAAUUCAGAGGAUUCGCUUUGGAGAAGAGUGGAGUCCCUCCGCAAGAGCUGAUAGCAAGUUUGCGCUCACUUGCUCUCAGCUCUGCAAUCAGUCAGGCUGUUGUGCCGACGCAGAGUGCUAACCCUGUAUUAGAUUGUGCAGGAGAACAAAUAAGAAAAUUAUCCGGUGGAUUAUUGGGUGAGCUUCACGUUAA